ACCUUGUGGGAAGUCGGGGGGACCACCCCCCAAGGCUAAAUACUCCUUAGUGACCGAUAGCGCAUAGUACUGUGAAGGAAAGGUGAAAAGGACCCCGGGAGGGGAGUGAAAGAGAACCUGAAACCCUGUGUUUACAAGCUGUGGAAGCACGUUAAGGUGCAACCGCGUACUUUUUGUAGAACGGUCCGGCGAGUUGCGGAUGCUGGCGAGGUUAAGGAGUAAAGCUCCGGAGCCGAAGCGAGAGCGAGUCUUAAUAGGGCGUAAAGUCAGCAUGUGCAGACCCGAAACCGGGUGACCUAUCCAUGUCCAGGUUGAAGUUCCCGUAAAAGGGAAUGGAGGACCGAACGCACAUCCGUUGAAAAGGGUGGCGAUGAGGUGUGGAUAGGGGAGAAAUUCCAAUCGAACCCGGAGAUAGCUGGUUCUCCUCGAAAUAGCUUUAGGGCUAGCCUCGUAUUAGUUUAGCGGAGGUAGAGCACUGAAUUUCCUAGGGGGCGUCAAAGUCUACCGAAGAAUAUCAAACUCCGAAUGCCGCAUAAAUGAUGUACGGGAGUCAGACUGCACGAGAUAAGUUGGGUAGUCAAAAGGGAAAGAGCCCAGACCUACAGCUAAGGUCCCAAAGUGUGUGUUAAGUGGAAAAGGAUGUGGGAUUUCGAAGACAACUAGGAUGUUGGCUCAGAAGCAGCCACACAUUCAAAGAGUGCGUAAUAGCUCACUAGUCGAGAGGUCCUGCGCCGAAAAUGUCCGGGGCUAAAACACAACACCGAAGCUUAGGAAUGUAGUAAUACAUUGGUAGAGGAGCAUUCUUAAAGGAAUGAAGCAGUACCGAUAAGGAGCUGUGGACUUUUAAGAAGAGAGAAUGCCGGAAUGAGUAGCGAGAUGGAGGUGGGAAUCCUCCAGGCCGAAUAUCCAAGGUUUCCAGGGUAAAGCUGAUCUGCCCUGGGUAAGUCGGGGCCUAAGGCAAGGCUGAGAAGCGUAGCUGAUGGACAACAGGUUUAGAUUCCUGUACCACAUGGUAUCAGAACUGUGGGGACGCAGAGGGAUAAGAUGACCGGGGGACAGAUUCCCGGGCAAGCGCAGGAGGUGUCAGGCAGGCAAAUCCGUCUGACAAGCCAAAGGCGUGACGCGGACCGAACGAAAGUAGGGAAGCAUACGAUUCCAGCUGCCGAGAAAAGCCGCUAUUGUGUACCAUGUGCCCGUACCGUAAACCGACACAGGUGGAUGAGGAGAGAAUCCUAAGGCCGGCGGGAGAAGCAUUGUUAAGGAACUCGGCAAAAUGACCCCGUAACUUCGGGAUAAGGGGUGCCAGAGAGAUCUGGCCGCAGAGAAUAGGCUCAAGCAACUGUUUAGCAAAAACACAGGUCUAUGCGAAACCGUAAGGUGAUGUAUAUGGGCUGACGCCUGCCCGGUGCUGGAAGGUUAAGAGGAGAGGUUAGAGCAAUCGAAGCUUUGAAUUGAAGCCCCAGUAAACGGCGGCCGUAACUAUAACGGUCCUAAGGUAGCGAAAUUCCUUGUCGGGUAAGUUCCGACCCGCACGAAAGGCGUAAUGAUUUGAGCGCUGUCUCGACAAUGCACCCGGUGAAA
RNAcentral lists this ribosomal RNA (1581 nucleotides) under metagenome. RNAcentral's name for it is "bacterial LSU rRNA". It matches the Rfam family "Bacterial large subunit ribosomal RNA", at positions 431 to 2041 of the family's 2925-position model. The record is from RNAcentral.